Molecule: ribosomal RNA, 237 nt
Filed under: uncultured bacterium
Lineage: Bacteria
Description: partial 16S ribosomal RNA
Rfam family: Bacterial small subunit ribosomal RNA
Source: RNAcentral
GUUGUUCGGAAUUACUGGGCGUAAAGGGCUCGUAGGCGGCCAACUAAGUCAUACGUGAAAUCCCUCAGCUUAACUGGGGAACUGCGUGUGAUACUGGAUGGCUUGGAUUUGGGAGAGGGAUGCGGAAUUCCAGGUGUAGCGGUGAAAUGCGUAGAUAUCGGGAGGAACACCUAUGGCGAAGGCAGCUCGCUGGGACGUUACUGACGCUGAGACGCGAAAGCGUGGGGAGCAAACAGG